Molecule: ribosomal RNA, 468 nt
Filed under: uncultured bacterium
Lineage: Bacteria
Description: partial 16S ribosomal RNA
Rfam family: Bacterial small subunit ribosomal RNA
Source: RNAcentral
GACGAACGCUGGCGGCGUGCUUAACACAUGCAAGUCGAACGGAAAGGCCCUGCUUUUGUGGGGUGCUCGAGUGGCGAACGGGUGAGUAACACGUGAGUAACCUGCCCUUGACUUUGGGAUAACUUCAGGGAACUGGGGCUAAUACCGGAUAGGAGCUCCUGCUGCAUGGUGGGGGUUGGAAAGUUUCGGCGGUGGGGGUUGGACUAGCGGCUUAUCAGCUUGUUGGUGGAGUUGUGGCUUACCAAGGCUUUGACGGGUAGCCGGCCUGAGAGGGUGACCGGCCACAUUGGGACUGAGGUACGGCCCAGACUGCUACUGGAGGCAGCAGUGGAGAAUAUUGCACAGUGGGCGGAAGACUGAUACAGCAACGCCGCGUGCGGGAUGACGGCCUUCGGGUUGUAAACCGCUUUCGCCUGUGACGAGGCGUGAGUGACGGUAAUGGGUAAAAAAGCACCGGCUAACUACGUG